Molecule: ribosomal RNA, 484 nt
Filed under: uncultured bacterium
Lineage: Bacteria
Description: bacterial SSU rRNA
Rfam family: Bacterial small subunit ribosomal RNA
Source: RNAcentral
GAGAUUUUCGCAAUGCCCGAAAGGGUGACGAAGCGACGCCGCGUGCGGGAAGAAGGCCUUCGGGUUGUAAACCGCUGUCGGGAGUUAAGAAAUGUAAGGAUGUUAAUAGCAUCUUUGCUUGACUAAGGCUCCGGAGGAAGCCACGGCUAACUCUGUGCCAGCAGCCGCGGUAAUACAGAGGCGGCAAGCGUUGUUCGGAAUUAUUGGGCGUAAAGAGCACGUAGGCGGCUAUGUAAGUCGGUUGUGAAAGCCCUCCGCUCAACGGGAGAACAGCAUCCGAUACUGCAUGGCUUGAGUGCGGGAGGGGAGAGUGGAACUUCUGGUGGAGCGGUGAAAUGCGUAGAUAUCAGAAGGAACGCCGGCGGCGAAAGCGGCUCUCUGGCCCAUAACUGGCGCUGAGUGUGCGAAAGCUAGGGGAGCAAACGGGAUUAGAUACCCCGGUAGUCCUAGCCGUAAACGAUGGGCACUAAGUAGAGGGGUUUUA